CAUGAACGCUGGCGGCGUGCCUAACACAUGCAAGUCGAGCGGCAGCGAGGGGUGCUUGCACCCUGUCGGCGAGCGGCGGACGGCUGAGUAACGCGUGGGAACGUGCCCCAAAGUGAGGAAUAACUGCCCGAAAGGGUAGCUAAUACCGCAUAUUAUCUUCGGAUCAAAGGAUUUAUCCGCUUUGGGAGCGGCUCGCGUCGGAUUAGGUAGUUGGUGAGGUAAUGGCUCACCAAGCCGACGAUCCGUAGCUGGUCUGAGAGGAUGACCAGCCAGACUGGAACUGAGACACGGUCCAGACUCCUACGGGAGGCAGCAGUGAGGAAUCUUCCACAAUGGGCGAAAGCCUGAUGGAGCAACGCCGCGUGCAGGACGAAGGCCUUCGGGUUGUAAACUGCUUUUAUAAGUGAGGAAUAUGACGGUAACUUAUGAAUAAGGAUCGGCUAACUACGUG
This 451-nucleotide ribosomal RNA is filed under the name uncultured bacterium. Its description in RNAcentral is "partial 16S ribosomal RNA". It matches the Rfam family "Bacterial small subunit ribosomal RNA", at positions 29 to 507 of the family's 1533-position model. The record is from RNAcentral.